CAUUACAGGUUUUACACUGACACUUAACUAACUCUGGAGAAGACACACACUAUAUAAUAACCUAAAAGGACAAGUCACUGAGCGGAGAAGUGCCUGAAAGAACAUGUACCAAAUUACAGCUACAGUGCUUCAGUGUUCGCAGCCUCUUACAGAGAAUCUCUUCUGACACUCAGAAAACGAGAAAGAAACCCGCCGUAAACUCGAGCAACUUGCCUCACAAGACGCUGAAAUGCUUUUAUUAAACUCGGCCCGAUGAAGCUGUGUUCCUCCGCCUGUUGCUAGCUGCCCAAAGCCGUGUUAAUUUAACUUACCUUCCAGUCUCCGCCGCCGCUGCCGCCGCCGCUCCUCCCCGGGCCGCCUUCGACACCCGAGACCGCCGCCGGACCUCCGGAGGGCCGUGGAGCUGCAAGAGGAGAAGCCGAGAGGGGUCCAGCUACUGCCAGGGAGACGAAGAGCCAGCUGCACCGAGGCCCCGGGCCUUCUGUGUCCUCGAAAUAGCGCUCUUGGGGAGGGAUAGCGAGCCUGGGCCCUCCGCCGCCUGACAGAGACUCCGGAAUACCUUUUUGACAGCUCCUCGUCGGUCGCCCCCCCCUCCCCUGGACGGCCCUUCACUUUUCUCUUUUUCCUCACUUCCAGCAGAUACGAAUCAAAA
Long non-coding RNA from Amphiprion ocellaris (clown anemonefish), 652 nucleotides. RefSeq lists it as uncharacterized. The transcript has 2 exons. NCBI's taxonomy places the organism in Eukaryota, Metazoa, Chordata, Actinopteri, Pomacentridae. The record is from RefSeq and is a predicted model, not a curated record.